RNAcentral lists this ribosomal RNA (233 nucleotides) under uncultured bacterium. RNAcentral's name for it is "partial 16S ribosomal RNA". It matches the Rfam family "Archaeal small subunit ribosomal RNA", at positions 474 to 707 of the family's 1478-position model. The record is from RNAcentral.
UACCCGCAGCACAAGUGGUGGUCAUUAUUAUUGGGCCUAAAGCGUCCGUAGCUGGCUUGUUAGAUGCCUGGGUAAAUCGAUGCGCUCAACGCAUCGAACUCCGGGUAGACCGGCAAGCUUGGGACCGGGAGAGGCGUGAGCUACUCGAGGGGGUAGGGGUAAAAUCUGUAAUCCUUCGGGGAGGACCAGUGGCGAAGGCGUCACGCUAGAACGGCUCCGACAGUGAGGGACGA